UCCCUCCCUCCACACGUGGGGAUUACAAUUCGAGGUGAGACUUGGAUGGGACACAGAGCCAUACCAGCACGUAUGGGGGGCACUAAAACUUGUGCUUGGUGCCCAUUCAUCCCACAAGCCUGUGUGGCUGGUCUCCUCGUCUUCAACUCCCUGCCGGGUCUCAGACAGGCAGCCCGCGGUUCCUUCACCCGAACAGGCACACGGGGCUGGGUGCCAGUGAGUGCUGGGGCUUCUCCGAGCACUAGCUCACACCCACGAGCAUGGGCACGCAGGGCAUCGCCUGUGCCGUCCGUGGACAUGAAACACAACCGUGCCGGCCGUGCGCCGUCACGCAGCGCCAACUUCCUCCUGGGGCCUUCUGAGGCACGGGGGCUGGGGCCCCCUGAGACAAGCAUCCCUCACGCUGGGCUGACCCCACAGAACUGUGCGGUCCUUGCUCUUGGGGUCCGCCCCGCUGCCAGCCAGUGCCGCGUGCUGGGGACUCAGGGAGGCCCGCCGGGACCAGUGCGGGGACAGUGACCCGAGCAGAAGCUGGACAGAGCAGGAGAGGAAGGAGAGGAGGCGGUCAGGGCUCUCAGGAACCGGGUCCUGGGCAAGGGGCAGCCAUUUUCAAAUUUUCCGGAAAGCUGUCAGCUCACACUUGAGCGGUAAAAAGAUGCCUCUGGGGACGAGGCCCGUGCAGCUCUCCGGGCAAUGGUGGUGGCUCGGCCUAGAGAGGCGGCAGUGGAACGGAGACCCUGGUGGGGGAUGACAUCAAGGAAGGAGACGGGCAGGAACCCAGAUUUCUGCCUGUGGGCCACGGAAGUGAGGUUCACUGGGCAGGGCAGCCGCACACAGAACGCGGAAACGGCCCCGUAGGCCUGGAGGAGCCGAAGAGCAGGCGGACCCCCUCCGCGGAGGAACAGUUUCCGCCGGGAGCACAAAGCAGCGGACCGGAAGUGGGGGCGGAAGUGCAGUGGGAUCAGUGGCGACUGCGCGCCUCUGCCCGCGAAGUCUGAACUGGCUCAUAGCUGGGGACGCCGUGGCGGCGCUCGACUGGAGUCGGUUGAGUUCCUGAGGGCCCCAGGUUCUGGAAGGUUCGCCCCGGAGACAAAUGAGCAGUCUGUGCCGUAGGGAUUCUCCAAGAGAACCGCGUUGUGUCCCAGUGCACCUGCUCGCAUCACUUACCAGGAGUGCCUGAGAUCCUAAGAUGUUCGGAGUGGUUUUUCCGCACAGACCCGAAUAGCCUGCCACUCAGCCACCCUCUGUGCCCUCCUGAGAACAGGCUGAUAUGCCCAAGAUAGUCCUGAAUGGUGUGACCAUAGACUUCCCUUUCCAGCCCUACAAAUGCCAACAGGAGUACAUGACCAAGGUCCUGGAAUGUCUGCAGCAGAAAGUGAAUGGCAUUCUGGAGAGCCCCACGGGCACAGGGAAGACGCUGUGUCUGCUGUGUACCACACUGGCCUGGCGAGAACACCUCCGAGACACCAUCUCUGCCCGCAAGAUUGCCGAGAGGGUUCAAGGGGAGCUUUUCCCGAAUCAGGCCUUGUCGUCCUGGGGCAGCGCUGCUGCUGCUGCUGAAGAUCCUAUAGGU
Long non-coding RNA from Piliocolobus tephrosceles (Ugandan red Colobus), 1573 nucleotides. RefSeq lists it as uncharacterized. The record is from RefSeq and is a predicted model, not a curated record. The transcript has 3 exons. Lineage: Eukaryota; Metazoa; Chordata; Mammalia; Primates; Cercopithecidae.